This 2933-nucleotide ribosomal RNA is filed under the name Escherichia coli. RNAcentral describes it as "23S ribosomal RNA". It matches the Rfam family "Bacterial large subunit ribosomal RNA". The record is from RNAcentral. Lineage: Bacteria; Pseudomonadati; Pseudomonadota; Gammaproteobacteria; Enterobacterales; Enterobacteriaceae.
GGGUUGUGAGGUUAAGCGACUAAGCGUACACGGUGGAUGCCCUGGCAGUCAGAGGCGAUGAAGGACGUGCUAAUCUGCGAUAAGCGUCGGUAAGGUGAUAUGAACCGUUAUAACCGGCGAUUUCCGAAUGGGGAAACCCAGUGUGAUUCGUCACACUAUCAUUAACUGAAUCCAUAGGUUAAUGAGGCGAACCGGGGGAACUGAAACAUCUAAGUACCCCGAGGAAAAGAAAUCAACCGAGAUUCCCCCAGUAGCGGCGAGCGAACGGGGAGCAGCCCAGAGCCUGAAUCAGUGUGUGUGUUAGUGGAAGCGUCUGGAAAGGCGUGCGAUACAGGGUGACAGCCCCGUACACAAAAAUGCACAUAUUGUGAGCUCGAUGAGUAGGGCGGGACACGUGGUAUCCUGUCUGAAUAUGGGGGGACCAUCCUCCAAGGCUAAAUACUCCUGACUGACCGAUAGUGAACCAGUACCGUGAGGGAAAGGCGAAAAGAACCCCGGCGAGGGGAGUGAAAAAGAACCUGAAACCGUGUACGUACAAGCAGUGGGAGCACAGAGCAAUCUGUGUGACUGCGUACCUUUUGUAUAAUGGGUCAGCGACUUAUAUUCUGUAGCAAGGUUAACCGAAUAGGGGAGCCGAAGGGAAACCGAGUCUUAACUGGGCGUUAAGUUGCAGGGUAUAGACCCGAAACCCGGUGAUCUAGCCAUGGGCAGGUUGAAGGUUGGGUAACACUAACUGGAGGACCGAACCGACUAAUGUUGAAAAAUUAGCGGAUGACUUGUGGCUGGGGGUGAAAGGCCAAUCAAACCGGGAGAUAGCUGGUUCUCCCCGAAAGCUAUUUAGGUAGCGCCUCGUGAAUUCAUCUCCGGGGGUAGAGCACUGUUUCGGCAAGGGGGUCAUCCCGACUUACCAACCCGAUGCAAACUGCGAAUACCGGAGAAUGUUAUCACGGGAGACACACGGCGGGUGCUAACGUCCGUCGUGAAGAGGGAAACAACCCAGACCGCCAGCUAAGGUCCCAAAGUCAUGGUUAAGUGGGAAACGAUGUGGGAAGGCCCAGACAGCCAGGAUGUUGGCUUAGAAGCAGCCAUCAUUUAAAGAAAGCGUAAUAGCUCACUGGUCGAGUCGGCCUGCGCGGAAGAUGUAACGGGGCUAAACCAUGCACCGAAGCUGCGGCAGCGACGCUUAUGCGUUGUUGGGUAGGGGAGCGUUCUGUAAGCCUGUGAAGGUGUGCUGUGAGGCAUGCUGGAGGUAUCAGAAGUGCGAAUGCUGACAUAAGUAACGAUAAAGCGGGUGAAAAGCCCGCUCGCCGGAAGACCAAGGGUUCCUGUCCAACGUUAAUCGGGGCAGGGUGAGUCGACCCCUAAGGCGAGGCCGAAAGGCGUAGUCGAUGGGAAACAGGUUAAUAUUCCUGUACUUGGUGUUACUGCGAAGGGGGGACGGAGAAGGCUAUGUUGGCCGGGCGACGGUUGUCCCGGUUUAAGCGUGUAGGCUGGUUUUCCAGGCAAAUCCGGAAAAUCAAGGCUGAGGCGUGAUGACGAGGCACUACGGUGCUGAAGCAACAAAUGCCCUGCUUCCAGGAAAAGCCUCUAAGCAUCAGGUAACAUCAAAUCGUACCCCAAACCGACACAGGUGGUCAGGUAGAGAAUACCAAGGCGCUUGAGAGAACUCGGGUGAAGGAACUAGGCAAAAUGGUGCCGUAACUUCGGGAGAAGGCACGCUGAUAUGUAGGUGAAGUCCCUCGCGGAUGGAGCUGAAAUCAGUCGAAGAUACCAGCUGGCUGCAACUGUUUAUUAAAAACACAGCACUGUGCAAACACGAAAGUGGACGUAUACGGUGUGACGCCUGCCCGGUGCCGGAAGGUUAAUUGAUGGGGUUAGCGCAAGCGAAGCUCUUGAUCGAAGCCCCGGUAAACGGCGGCCGUAACUAUAACGGUCCUAAGGUAGCGAAAUUCCUUGUCGGGUAAGUUCCGACCUGCACGAAUGGCGUAAUGAUGGCCAGGCUGUCUCCACCCGAGACUCAGUGAAAUUGAACUCGCUGUGAAGAUGCAGUGUACCCGCGGCAAGACGGAAAGACCCCGUGAACCUUUACUAUAGCUUGACACUGAACAUUGAGCCUUGAUGUGUAGGAUAGGUGGGAGGCUUUGAAGUGUGGACGCCAGUCUGCAUGGAGCCGACCUUGAAAUACCACCCUUUAAUGUUUGAUGUUCUAACGUUGACCCGUAAUCCGGGUUGCGGACAGUGUCUGGUGGGUAGUUUGACUGGGGCGGUCUCCUCCUAAAGAGUAACGGAGGAGCACGAAGGUUGGCUAAUCCUGGUCGGACAUCAGGAGGUUAGUGCAAUGGCAUAAGCCAGCUUGACUGCGAGCGUGACGGCGCGAGCAGGUGCGAAAGCAGGUCAUAGUGAUCCGGUGGUUCUGAAUGGAAGGGCCAUCGCUCAACGGAUAAAAGGUACUCCGGGGAUAACAGGCUGAUACCGCCCAAGAGUUCAUAUCGACGGCGGUGUUUGGCACCUCGAUGUCGGCUCAUCACAUCCUGGGGCUGAAGUAGGUCCCAAGGGUAUGGCUGUUCGCCAUUUAAAGUGGUACGCGAGCUGGGUUUAGAACGUCGUGAGACAGUUCGGUCCCUAUCUGCCGUGGGCGCUGGAGAACUGAGGGGGGCUGCUCCUAGUACGAGAGGACCGGAGUGGACGCAUCACUGGUGUUCGGGUUGUCAUGCCAAUGGCACUGCCCGGUAGCUAAAUGCGGAAGAGAUAAGUGCUGAAAGCAUCUAAGCACGAAACUUGCCCCGAGAUGAGUUCUCCCUGACCCUUUAAGGGUCCUGAAGGAACGUUGAAGACGACGACGUUGAUAGGCCGGGUGUGUAAGCGCAGCGAUGCGUUGAGCUAACCGGUACUAAUGAACCGUGAGGCUUAACCUUACAACGCCGAAGGUGUUU